GAAUGGCAAGAAUGAUGAAUCAAUUAGAUGCGUGAAUGGGAAAUGAAAAUUUUCCAUUAUGAACUCAACUUUUGAGGCAUUAUAAUUUGUCUGACUUGCCAUUC
Non-coding RNA from Corchorus olitorius, 104 nucleotides. The record is from Rfam. Lineage: Eukaryota; Viridiplantae; Streptophyta; Magnoliopsida; Malvales; Malvaceae.